RNAcentral lists this long non-coding RNA (218 nucleotides) under Lathyrus oleraceus (garden pea). Its description in RNAcentral is "Pisum sativum (pea) long non-coding RNA (PSAT_LNC003021)". Lineage: Eukaryota; Viridiplantae; Streptophyta; Magnoliopsida; Fabales; Fabaceae. The record is from RNAcentral.
AAUUACUAUGCAUUGUCAGUGUAAAAUAUUUUACACAAUCGAUUCAUCACCAUCACCCGUUUGCAUUACUUUAUAGAUUUUUAAAAUAAAAAUCAAAUUCGUUUCAACAUCCAAUGACUAUGAUUAACUGAGAGUGUAAAAUCAUGUUACACUGUCUAUGUAUUUCAGUUAAAUCCAUUAAAAAAAUCAAAUAUAAAAAUUUUCAAAAAAAACAAGGG